GCUACACAUGCAGUCGAGCGGAGAGAGGUAGCUUGCUACUGAUCUUAGCGGCGGACGGGUGAGUAAUGCUUAGGAAUCUGCCUAUUAGUGGGGGACAACAUUUCGAAAGGAAUGCUAAUACCGCAUACGUCCUACGGGAGAAAGCAGGGGAUCUUCGGACCUUGCGCUAAUAGAUGAGCCUAAGUCGGAUUAGCUAGUUGGUGGGGUAAAGGCCUACCAAGGCGACGAUCUGUAGCGGGUCUGAGAGGAUGAUCCGCCACACUGGGACUGAGACACGGCCCAGACUCCUACGGGAGGCAGCAGUGGGGAAUAUUGGACAAUGGGCGCAAGCCUGAUCCAGCCAUGCCGCGUGUGUGAAGAAGGCCUUAUGGUUGUAAAGCACUUUAAGCGAGGAGGAGGCUACUUUAGNUAAUACCUAGAGAUAGUGGACGUUACUCGCAGAAUAAGCACCGGCUAACUCUGUGCCAGCAGCCGCGGUAAUACAGAGGGUGCAAGCGUUAAUCGGAUUUACUGGGCGUAAAGCGCGCGUAGGCGGCUAAUUAAGUCAAAUGUGAAAUCCCCGAGCUUAACUUGGGAAUUGCAUUCGAUACUGGUUAGCUAGAGUGUGGGAGAGGAUGGUAGAAUUCCAGGUGUAGCGGUGAAAUGCGUAGAGAUCUGGAGGAAUACCGAUGGCGAAGGCAGCCAUCUGGCCUAACACUGACGCUGAGGUGCGAAAGCAUGGGGAGCAAACAGGAUUAGAUACCCUGGUAGUCCAUGCCGUAAACGAUGUCUACUAGCC
This 778-nucleotide ribosomal RNA is filed under the name bacterium 103_oclvp94. Its description in RNAcentral is "bacterial SSU rRNA". It matches the Rfam family "Bacterial small subunit ribosomal RNA", at positions 48 to 821 of the family's 1533-position model. The record is from RNAcentral. RNAcentral also lists the same sequence under 1 other name.